CAAGAACCUUACCAAGUCUUGACAUCCUUCUGACCGUUCCUUAGCCGGAACUUCUCUUCGGAGCAGAAGAGACAGGUGGUGCAUGGUUGUCGUCAGCUCGUGUCGUGAGAUGUUGGGUUAAGUCCCGCAACGAGCGCAACCCUUAUCCUUAGUAGCCAGCGGUUCGGCCGGGCACUCUGGGGAGACUGCCGGAGAUAAUCCGGAGGAAGGUGGGGAUGACGUCAAAUCAUCAUGCCCCUUAUGACUUGGGCUACACACGUGCUACAAUGGCGGUAACAAAGGGAAGCAACCUCGCGAGAGUGAGCAAACCCCAAAAAUGCCGUCUCAGUUCGGAUUGUUGUCUGCAACUGACUACAUGAAGCUGAAUUUGAUAUAAUGGCAAUCAGAAUGCGCCGUGAUA
This 400-nucleotide ribosomal RNA is filed under the name uncultured bacterium. Its description in RNAcentral is "bacterial SSU rRNA". It matches the Rfam family "Bacterial small subunit ribosomal RNA", at positions 963 to 1365 of the family's 1533-position model. The record is from RNAcentral.